GGGGAAUAUUGGACAAUGGGCGCAAGCCUGAUCCAGCCAUGCCGCGUGAGUGAUGACGGCCCUAGGGUUGUAAAGCUCUUUCAACGGUGAAGAUAAUGACGGUAACCGUAGAAGAAGCCCCGGCUAACUUCGUGCCAGCAGCCGCGGUAAUACGAAGGGGGCUAGCGUUGUUCGGAAUUACUGGGCGUAAAGCGCACGUAGGCGGACUGAUAAGUCAGGGGUGAAAUCCCGGGGCUCAACCCCGGAACUGCCUUUGAUACUGUCAGUCUAGAGUUCGAGAGAGGUGAGUGGAAUUCCGAGUGUAGAGGUGAAAUUCGUAGAUAUUCGGAGGAACACCAGUGGCGAAGGCGGCUCACUGGCUCGAUACUGACGCUGAGGUGCGAAAGCGUGGGGAGCAAA
RNAcentral lists this ribosomal RNA (399 nucleotides) under uncultured bacterium. RNAcentral describes it as "bacterial SSU rRNA". It matches the Rfam family "Bacterial small subunit ribosomal RNA", at positions 356 to 772 of the family's 1533-position model. The record is from RNAcentral.